AUGGAGUUUGUUCUUUCUUAUGCUGACUCCCCGUUCUUAUUGACCCGGUCACAGAGGGGCUCCUAGUGUGUCAUCUGACCUGGACAUGAAAGCUGCCAGUUACACUCUGAUUAACUGAGGGGUGUGUUCAGGAAUAGAAAGAUAAUUCCUCGGAAGUGGUUCUAUAUAAAGCAUUUGCAUUCUAGAGACACAUUUCUUUCAUAAGAGGAUUGGUCAGGUUCCUUACAGUGGCCAUAUGGGCAAAGCUCACUAACUUUGCUACAUUUCCCUACACCCCACAGUAACCUUUCCUAUUGCUCAAUUCUUCUACAUCGUAAAGCAGCGUUUAUUAUGCUACCAACUAGUGCAGUCACACCUUGGGUUUUGUUAUUACAAAUUACAAAGCAUUUCCCAGAAUUUUAAAAUAUAAUUUUAUUAAAGAUUUUAUUUUAAAUUUAUGAAUAGGAAGAGAAAGUGUGUAAGCUCUACUGUGAAAAAUUUAUGUUUAUAUGGAUGGCAUUGAGACUGUAUUUUCAGGCUAAACCAUGAUGCUCUCGUGAUAUUUUUAAUAAAGAUAAUGAACUUUCUUUUCCAGAGUGAUUUUGGGCUCACCAGAAAACCCAGAGUCCCCAUCUACCCAUGCCCCUCACCCACACACACCUUUCACUGUCAGCAUCCUGUCUGCCACAGCGUUGGAUCUGGUACAAUUAGUCAAUCUAUGCCAAUCCAUCUUUAUAGGAAGUGAGUAGUUCAUGUCAGGGUCUUUCCUCAGUUGUAUAUUGUGUGGGUAAUGUGUAUCUUUAUUAUCAUAAUAGCAUGUGGGGUAUUUUCACUGCCCUAAAACUCCUCUGUGUUCUGAUUGCUGAAUCCCCUCUCCUCACUAAGUCCUGGCAACCACCGAUCUUUAUUCUGUCUUCAUAGUUUUGUCUUCCAGAAUGUCACAUAGUUGGAAUCAAUCAGUGUGCAGACUUCUCAGAUUGUCUUCUUUUACUUACAAUCUGCAUUUACAUUUUUGUGUCUUUUUAUGCCUUGAUAGCUCAUUUCUUUUCAGUAUUGAGUACUAUUCUGCUGUUUGCAUACAGCGGUUUAUGACCUAUUUACUUUUGCUUCUAAUUCCAUUUGCUAUGACACAUUCGUCGCAGGGGACAUGAAUUGAUUAUUUCCUAUGGAUCUGACGAUGUUAUUGUGUCUGGAUCUGAAACUGGCUUUUGUCACCAGUCUGUAUGGCCUUCCAUUGAUCACUUCUGCCGAGAAAGGUGUUGUGAUCCUGCACAUUUGCCUUACUGGGUCAUACACAUUGAUAAACAGUGGCUCCCAAUCACCUGGAAGCUCUGUAUUCUGAGGGGAAGGGUCAUCUACUGCACACCGGAUGGGUGACCUAUGACAAGCAGGUAGAUGUUGAAAUGAUGAUAAUCACACAGAGUGAAUGAGGAAAAGGUCUGCUCGGGGAGAUUCAUCUGAGGCCAUUACCAUAUUCUGUGUCUAUGGCCUGCUUUUAUGUUUUGUGCUGGCAGCCACUUGUGGACCAGGUCCUACAGCAGAGAUGAAGGUAUAACUGAGAAAUGAGUGUUGGAUGCAAAUUAAUAAGGCCUGUAUUCUGGUACUCGCCCUCCCUUUCAUGGUCUCUAAGAACAGUGGCAAACCUCAAGUCCCCUGAGCCUUCCCUGUGUCUAUCAGCCAGGGUUGUUAGUCCAUUUUUGCUUAUUUACACUAGGGUUUAGAAAUACAAUUCUUGAAAGGGUCUCAAUUAAUAUAACAAGCACCGUGAGCCCCUACUGCGGAUGUAGGAUGAGAUCCUUGAUGGAAAACAUUUUUGCAGAAGUUUUGAAGACCUGCAUGCUUUUUGGAGACUUUAAGCUAUUUUAUUUUUAUAUUAAGGUCAGAUCCACUUUAUUAUGUUGCUGUCUCAAAGUAAUUGACACUUUUAGAUCUCUGCCAGUAAUUUGACUAAAAGUUACAGUUGGAAUGUUCUUUAGUGAUUCUGCCUUUGAGAAAAUAAUGUGUUAGGUUCAGAUUUAAAAUGUGUGCAUGCGCACCUAUGUGUGUGUGUGUGUGGUGUGUGUGUGUGUGUGUGUGUGUGUGUGUGUGUGUGUGUGUAGGCAUGAUGUGUGGUCAGAAGACAGUUUCAUGUAGUCAUGUUUCUUUCAUUUUUACUUGGUUCCCAGGGAUCAAACUAAGGUCAGAAGGCUUGCAUGGCAAGGAUUUUGACUUGUGACAUCUUGCUGGCCCAGGUUUGUUUCCUUAAGCACUGACAACAAAACAAAUUACAACUCCACUUUUAUUCAGGAGUUUGCCAUCUUUGAGAUGAGUGCACACAUUCCUUUGUAACAGUUUACAUAGAGGGAAAGUACUAAAUUAGCUGCCCCACCCCAUCCUCCAAAAUGGGAUCUGAAAGCAGCUUGUGGAAAGACUCCCACCCCAUCCCAUGCCCCACUAAAAGGAUUCUCAAACCCACAUCUCGUCACUUUUUCUUAAGAACAUGGCUGUCCAACUCCCACCCUCAACAGCCUUCCUCGAUCAAUAGUCACUUCCUUUAUAAAUACACUUUCAUUAUCCCCCAGAAAAAGGAAAGAUUUAAAAAACUCAUUCUUAAGGAACAUUCAAGAUUUCAUAGCAAUAUUUUGUGUUCACAGUACAAGAUAAAUCUGAGUAUUUCUAAUUUCUUUUUCUAGUCUUCAUAUGGCAUCUGAAACAGUUGUUCACAUUCACACAUCUAUGUAUCACCAUAUGCAUACCGUGUGCAGUUCUGUUGUUUUAAAAUAUUUUAUUGGUUUUCUUUCAUAUCUCAACUUUUGAUGGGUGUCCUUGAAGAACUUGCAUAAAAAAUGUAAAUGUGAAUGAUUCAUUCAUUCUGAGCACAUGUAACUAUUUUGGGAGACUGUCUUCAGGAGGUUUUACCCUAUGGUGGAGCAUGCUGUUCUCAGUGAGGAGAGCUUCCCAGGACUGCUCUGCUCUUGGCUGGAUCCUAAAGAUUCGGGGCCAUGAUCUCUUCUAAGUUCAUGCUUCCUGCCAGUUUUGCUCCAUCAUUGGUCACUGUCUCAUGUCUCCACCAGGCCAUCAGAGAGGUAUAUGAUGUCAAUAGUCUUGUGCUGGAGACAAGCUUUGAAAUCCAUUAGAAUAUGUGCAAUUGUUUGUGUUAAAGAAUGAAUUCAUGGCUCAAAGAGUUGCAGUUUUUCUUCUACAAAUCAUAGAAGAUGCUCAGGCUCAGUGAUGUGGAAAGGCACAUCUAUGCAGCCUGAAAUCGGUUUCUGUACUAGAUAUUUAAAUGCAUGAGGACAAAUUUGAAUUGCUGUUUAAAAAAUGAAACCUAGAAGUAUUAGCCUCAGUUUGUUUAAAAUUUGCAAUGAAACUGAAUUCCUGGCAGUUCCAAACUGAGAAGCGAGUCUGACUUUGUAAAAGCUUUGUCUUGUCAAUAAAGUUUUAGCAG
RNAcentral lists this long non-coding RNA (3406 nucleotides) under Cricetulus griseus (Chinese hamster). Its description in RNAcentral is "lncRNA (ENSCGRG00015040611.1)". Lineage: Eukaryota; Metazoa; Chordata; Mammalia; Rodentia; Cricetidae. The record is from RNAcentral.